UACGUAGGGGGCUAGCGUUGUCCGGAAUCAUUGGGCGUAAAGAGCGUGUAGGCGGCCCGGUAAGUCCGCUGUGAAAGUCCAGGGCUCAACCCUGGGAUGCCGGUGGAUACUGUCGGGCUCGAGUCCGGAAGAGGAGUGUGGAAUUCCUGGUGUAGCGGUGAAAUGCGCAGAUAUCAGGAGGAACACCAAUGGCGAAGGCAGCACUCUGGGACGUGACUGACGCUGAGACGCGAAAGCGUGGGGAGCAAGCAGG
This 253-nucleotide ribosomal RNA is filed under the name uncultured bacterium. RNAcentral describes it as "partial 16S ribosomal RNA". It matches the Rfam family "Bacterial small subunit ribosomal RNA", at positions 524 to 776 of the family's 1533-position model. The record is from RNAcentral.